RNAcentral lists this transfer RNA (70 nucleotides) under Loxodonta africana (African savanna elephant). It matches the Rfam family "tRNA". Rfam says of the family: Transfer RNA (tRNA) molecules are approximately 80 nucleotides in length. Lineage: Eukaryota; Metazoa; Chordata; Mammalia; Proboscidea; Elephantidae. The record is from Rfam by way of RNAcentral.
GCGUCAGUGGUUCAAUGGUAGAACUCUUGCUUUCCACAGAGAAGCCCAGGUUUGAUUCCUGGCCAAUGCA